AGGAUGAACGCUGGCGGCGUGCCUAAUACAUGCAAGUCGAGCGAGGUAGCAAUACCCGAGCGGCGAACGGGUGAGUAACACGUAGGUAACCUGCCUUGAGACUGGGAUACCCGGACGAAAGUUCGGCUAAUACCGGAUAACAACGGGGACGGCAUCGUCUCCGCUUGAAAGGUGCGUUUGCACCACUCUUAGAUGGACCUGCGGCACAUUAGCUAGUUGGUGAGGUAACGGCCCACCAAGGCGAAGAUGUGUAGCCGACCUGAGAGGGUGAACGGCCACAAUGGAACUGAGACACGGUCCAUACUCCUACGGGAGGCAGCAGUAGGGAGUUUUCGGCAAUGGGGGAAACCCUGACCGAGCAACGCCGCGUGAGUGAAGAAGGUCUUCGGAUUGUAAAGCUCUGUUACGAGGGACGAAUGACGAGUUCAGGAAAUGGGAUUCGUUUGACGGUACCUCGCCAGAAAGUGACGGCUAACUACGUGCCAGCAGCAGC
Molecule: ribosomal RNA, 493 nt
Filed under: uncultured bacterium
Lineage: Bacteria
Description: bacterial SSU rRNA
Rfam family: Bacterial small subunit ribosomal RNA
Source: RNAcentral